GGAGCGGUAGUUCAGUUGGUUAGAAUACCGGCCUGUCACGCCGGUGGUCGCGGGUUCGAGCCCCGUCCGCUCCGCCA
This 77-nucleotide transfer RNA is filed under the name Methylobacter tundripaludum. RNAcentral describes it as "tRNA-Asp". It matches the Rfam family "tRNA". Rfam says of the family: Transfer RNA (tRNA) molecules are approximately 80 nucleotides in length. Their secondary structure includes four short double-helical elements and three loops (D, anti-codon, and T loops). Further hydrogen bonds mediate the characteristic L-shaped molecular structure. tRNAs have two regions of fundamental functional importance: the anti-codon, which is responsible for specific mRNA codon recognition, and the 3' end, to which the tRNAs corresponding amino acid is attached (by aminoacyl-tRNA synthetases). tRNAs cope with the degeneracy of the genetic code in two manners: having more than one tRNA (with a specific anti-codon) for a particular amino acid; and 'wobble' base-pairing, i.e. permitting non-standard base-pairing at the 3rd anti-codon position. The record is from RNAcentral. RNAcentral also lists the same sequence under 12 other names. Lineage: Bacteria; Pseudomonadati; Pseudomonadota; Gammaproteobacteria; Methylococcales; Methylococcaceae.